UACGAAGGGGGCUAGCGUUGUUCGGAAUCACUGGGCGUAAAGCGCACGCAGGCGGAUCGUUAAGUCAGGGGUGAAAUGCCGAGGCUCAACCUCGGAACUGCCUUUGAUACUGAGAAGCUUGAGUCCGGGAGAGGUGAGUGGAACUGCGAGUGUAGAGGUGAAAUUCGUAGAUAUUCGCAAGAACACCAGUGGCGAAGGCGGCUCACUGGCCCGGUACUGACGCUGAGGUGCGAAAGCGUGGGGAGCAAACAGG
RNAcentral lists this ribosomal RNA (253 nucleotides) under uncultured bacterium. RNAcentral describes it as "partial 16S ribosomal RNA". It matches the Rfam family "Bacterial small subunit ribosomal RNA", at positions 524 to 776 of the family's 1533-position model. The record is from RNAcentral.